ACCGUUCUUCAGGAACUUGGGCUCCUUCUCGAGCUCCUUGCCAGAUCGUCUGUCAAUCUUGGUAACAAGCUCGGCAAACUUGACAGCAAUGUGUGAGGUGUGGCAGUCCAGCACUGGGGCGUAGCCAUUGCCGAUCUGGCCAGGGUGGUUCAUGAUGAUGACCUGGGAGGUGAAGUUGGCAGCCUCCUUGGCAGGGUCAUCCUUGGAGUUGGAGGCCACGUACCCACGCUUGAGAUCCUUCACAGCAACGUUCUUCACGUUGAAGCCAACAUUGUCACCGGGAAGGGCCUCCUGGAGCGCCUCAUGGUGCAUCUCAACAGACUUCACCUCAGUGGUCAGGCCGCUGGGACCAAAGGUGACAAGCAUACCAGGCUUGAUGACACCAGUCUCUACACGACCAACAGGCACAGUUCCAAUACCACCAAUCUUGUACACAUCCUGAAGGGGGAGACGCAGGGGCUUGUCCGAAGGCCUCUUUGGCUCAUUGAUCAAGUCAAGAGCCUCAAGCAGUGUUGGGCCCUUGUACCAGUCCAGGUUGGUGGACCUCUCAAUCAUGUUGUCGCCCUCGAAACCAGAGAUGGGAACAAAGUGAAUCUUGUCAGGGUUGUAUCCAACCUUCUUGAGGUACGAAGAGACUUCCUUCACAAUCUCAUCAUAGCGGGCCUUCGAGUACUUGGGUGUGGUGGCAUCCAUCUGUACAAAACAAAGCAUUACAAUUAGCCAAAAAGAGAUGUGUCAAACAUCAACAGCAAUAGAUACAAAUGAAAGCAUGUAAACAAGAAGCUCCUAGCAUGUAUCUCACCCUCAUUCACCUUGUUUUACAAGUAAGCUACUCACACUGGAACAGGAAUAAAGCAGGCAAUAGUGUCGAAAAACAAAAAAUAAACUAUCAUCAUGCAAAACAGUGAGGCCAUACCUUGUUGCAGCAGCAGAUCAUCUGCUUCACUCCAAGAGUGAAAGCAAGCAGAGCAUGCUCACGGGUCUGGCCAUCCUUGGAGAUACCAGCCUCAAAACCACCAGUGGUGGAGUCAAUGAUGAGGACAGCACAGUCAGCCUGGGAGGUACCGGUAAUCAUGUUCUUGAUGAAGUCACGGUGACCGGGGGCAUCAAUGACCGUGCAGUAGUACUUGGUGGUCUCGAAUUUCCACAGGGCAAUGUCGAUGGUGAUACCUCUCUCACGCUCAGCCUUGAGCUUGUCAAGCACCCACGCAUACUUGAAGGACCUCUUGUUCAUUUCUGCGGCCUCCUUCUCGAACCUCUCGAUCACACGCUUGUCAAUACCUCCAAGCUUGUAGAUCAGGUGGCCAGUGGUGGUCGAUUUGCCAGAGUCGACAUGGCCAAUGACCACGAUGUUAAUGUGAGACUUCUCCUUGCCCAUGGCUACAAGUAGAGCUUAACCUGCAGUUUUAAGAUUCAAAAAUAUUAACAUGCAGUUUUAAGAUUCAAAAUAUCAAAAUAUAAAUCAGUGAACAGACCACAUAUCCAGUCAAGUAGACCAAGCAGAGGUCACCAUCCAAGAGAGGAGAUACUACUGUUCAUUAACUACAUCUACCUCUACACUGAUGCCCUAAUUAAACAAGGCCCUCGAUAACAGUUAACAGGACAUGCUUUUUGUUUUAUUGAAUUUCAUUUUACACAAUAAAUUGCAUUCAAUUUACAUUACAGAAUACAUCAAAACUAACUGAAUCAAACCAAAGGAUACAGAGUAAAAUCUACUAAAAGUAUCACCAAAAAUGUAAUUUCAUCAACUUCCAAAUAUUUUGUAUAUACUUUUAUGAUUUGUAUCCAGCAAAAUUGUAAGGUCUAAUGACAUAACAGACCCUGUAUUCCCAAUUUACCUCAGAGAAGAAGAGAAAUUCUUGUUUAGGGAACAUGAAUAGGGAAAAAAAAGCCGACUAUCGGAUUUGAACCGAUGACCCUCGCAUUACAAAUGCGAUGCUCUAACCUCUGAGCUAAGUGGGCUUUAUCAACAGAUAUAGUGUACAUCAACAUAUUAUAACAGCAUAGAUAAACAAAAAAUGGUCAAUUGUGGAGACUCAUGAACAUCUAUCAAAUAUCGAAUUAAUUGUGCCAAAUAAUUCGAGUCCUGUGUGCAAGAUGGAACACCAUGGAUUCACUGUUUUAAAUAAGAUGUAACGACAGGCCCUCGCACUAGUAUAGCAGAACUGAAAUUUAAUAGCAAAGUAGCCAACAUAGCAGGACUAGGCGAUAGUGAACUCGCAUAACUACUAGCGAGCCCAUGUAGAACACGGGCAAACAUCAAAGUGGGACACGGAGAAAUAAGACCCAGGAACAAAUCAACGGAAAUACCAUGCAUCUAAAGAGAAGCACCUAAAACUGGUAGCGUUAUACCUCCUGAGCAGGAAGGAUGUGCACAGGAUCAGGAUCCUCGAUCGCAAAAGCUAACCGGGAUGAUGGAUAUGUAGACAGUAGACUCACCUCGAGGAGAAGAGGGGAACGAGAGGCGGCGGCUGCAGGGGAAGAAGGGGGCGAGGGUUGUUUGGACAGCAGAAUGCUCCGUUAUAUAGGCAGCGGCGGGAGCUAGGGUUCCACCUGGAGGACCGAUCCGCUUCUGGUGACCGUCGAUGCGAAGAAUCCGGUCUGUUGGCGACACUAGGCCGGUUAGAUUUUUAGUAAAAUUUCGUAGGGCUCAAGUUGCUCCCUUCUCGCACGAAAUUGGCACUACUGGUCUACCGCAUUUCUUUAUUCACGGAGAAAAACUGAUUGAGCGUUUUUUUUUCUCUACAUCUGCUGCUUAAAAUACUUACUAGAUACGCGCACUUCGCCGCGCCGCUCAUAAAAAUUAUGAAAAAGCUCACCUAUUAGUUUUGUCCACCUCCGAAUAAAAUAUAGAUUCCCUUUACUUUAUAAAUUAUUUCAUUUGGUCCAAUCUAUCCUCUAAUUUUUUUUAUUUCUCCAUGUACAGGCUGAAUUUGAGUUCAAAUUUUGUAAGCAGAUACAAAAUAUGAUAUCUUAUGUUAAAAAAUUAUACUAAAUUUUUUCAUGGUUAUUUUCAUAGAUUAGGUAUAUUUAAUACGAAAUUAAUCUUAGGUAUAUAAAACUAUACAAAAAAUAAUCAUGAAAAAUUGCUAAUAUAUUUUCCUAACAUAGAGCAUUGUGUUAUAAUCCAACUAGCAAAAUCUAAAAUUAAAACUCAACUUGCACGAAAAAAAGAGGAAAAUCUUAUUAGAGGUAGAUUGGACCAAAUGAAAUAGUUCGUGGGAGUAAAGUAAGUCUAAAUUUUGCUUAGUGGGUUAAGUGGACAAAGUAAAUAGGUGAUGGAAGUAAAAUUGACUUUUUCCUAAAAAUUAUAUAAAAAGGUUAUGCAAAUAAUGUGUAAGAAGUUUGUAUAAAAAAUUUGUAUAGCAAAGAAGUAAAAGUUUUGAAAAUGAAAAUAAAAACUCAAACAAAAAUUUCAACGGAAAAAUUGCAUAAAAAUUAGAGAACAUUUGGGAAAGCAACAUUUUUAUAAUUGAAAUCCAAAAAAUGAAAGAAAAAUAUUGGAGACAAAAAUUGGAAAAAGAAAUUCCGAAAUGAAAGAAUAGGAACACAGAUUUUGCCAAAAAAAAAAAGAGGGGGGAAAAUAAUACGUAUGCGGAGGCCCUCGUCACUCACGCGCCGCUUCGGCUUCGCCGAGUCUUCUGCGCGCUCCCCUGGACUGCGGGCCCGAGUUCAUCGGAGCCGCCUCGCCUUCACCUGGGGCCACGCCUUCGCAUGGGCUACAGGCCCAAGUUCAUCCGCGCGGCUCCUCGACUGUCGCCGGGCUGCCGCACCGCCCGCUGGUCGUCGCUCGGACGGUGUUCUGGCUGAGCAUCUGAUUUGAGGAGCAGGUGAAAAGGUACAAAAAUUCAAAGGAAAGAAAGGAAAACGGAGGAGUUUUGGGUUCCCGUCAGUUCUCGUCCUUUCAAGAUGCAACAGUUCCGACUUGGACCCAUCUGUCAGUGUCUACGAAUUGUCUACAGUAACUCGAGGCCCUAUCGUCCAGGCCGGGGUUGUCUACAAUACUCGAGGCCCUAUCGUCCAGGCCAGGGGUGCAUGGAUUCUGUUGCUAACUUUAACAGCAUCACAUUGGAUGUUCGAUGCUAAUUAGAAAGAUUAAAUAUGAAUUAAUUAUAAAACUAAUUGCAAAAUCCUGUGCUAAUUCGCGAGAUGAAUCUAUUAAGCCUAAUUAAUCUGUCAUUAGCAAAUGAUUACUGUAACACCACAUUAGCAAAUCAUGGACUAAUUAGGUUUAAUAGAUUCGUCUCGCGAAUUAGACUCCAUCUGUGCAAUUAGUUUUAUAAUUAGCCUAUAUUUAAUAUUCCUAAUUAGCAUCCAAACAUCAUAUGUUUGAUAUUACUAAUUAGCAUCCAAAUAUCCGAUGUGACAGGUGCUAAAUUUUAGUAGGGUGUAUCCAAACAUCCUUUAAGUACAUGUCUACUUUCUUUAAAGUCAAAUAAAUUCUCAGUCCAUUUCUGGUGAUCCUCGUUUCAUCCCAAACCAACAUUAUCCGGGUCGCAACAAUCUGAUUGUUGAUAUCCUCCCACAUAUGCCAUCUAACUAUAUUGCUAAGUUGACCAUGGUCAUCUUUAUCAUCCACCUCAUCCCCGCUGGCCGCUUGACUACCGCACCUCGCUUCACCUCGUGUGCCACUACCAUUCUAAAGCUAUAGUGCCUCUGCCAACAUCUUUAUUGCCCCUGUGCGACCCUGCCUCCUUCCUCCCUGGUAGCAGGUAGCGUCGAUGCUGCCUUGCCACACUCCUUGCCAUAUCUACCCUCCACCUUAUCUUCUUCUUCCCCGUUUCUUUUCUUUUCUUUCCUUUCACUCAUCUUCUUCACCGGAUCUCCGAUCUGCACUAGUGUCCACCUUCUCCGCCACCACCCCACGUGCCAUCUCCCCCUCGUAGCUAAUAGCGCCACAGCUAUCCUCCACGCUCACGCGGGUCGCUUCCACCCAUCGUGGUCGGCAGCGACCUCGCCGCCCACGAACCACCCCUGCAACCUCCACCCUACCCUUCCGAACAAAUCUAGCGUCCACCACCCCCUGCCACCAGCAUAGGCCACACGUUGUCCUUCGCAUCCCGACCAGGGGCAACAAUCUUGUGGCCCGGCCUCGACGCCGGACAACCUGCUAGCACCAUCGAGCCGCCACCGCCCUAGGCCCUCCUUUUAAGUCCACCAGCCACGGAUCAACUCGACAAUCCCUGACCUGAAAGCCCUAACCCUUUUCUUCUUCUUCUCCAGCUUCAACUUCGAGCAGUGACGCGCUUCUAAUAGCGUCAUGACAACGUGUUCUCUCCUAUCGUUUGCGGUGAGUGCACGCUAUCUAAGGAUUUUGAGGGAUAUGUUAUCACAGACAACUUUGUAUGAAUGAAGCAGAAAUGGCAAGAUGCAUGUCAUCGAGGAAUACUCACAUUGUUGCCCCGUGUCGCUCUCUCUAGAACGUAACAUGGGUCGCCACAACCCUACCCCCUACCUCUACCACACGUUUUGCCACCGCCAGAGUUCAUCGUAGGAAGUCCAUGUGGCUAUUUUGAGGAUAGCAUCGGCUAGGCGAAUUGAUCUAUGUUGGGUUGUGUGGGGCCGGAUCUGGAGGUCGUGCGUCCACCCUCGACAUCAAUUGAGCGCAGGUCAGUGGUGCUGGCACGCUUGACAGAUGGUCCACGUGAGGGCAAGAAGGCAUGCGGUUUGGGAUGGGCGAUUGGGCGGCAAUGCCGCUCAGGCCAAGCGACAUCACUGCGAUUGGUGGUUGUAGGUCACGUGUGGUGGUGGGCAGCCAUUGUCCGUGCGUGGUAGCUGGGAUGCCCGUGGGCAUGGGUGCUGCUAGCGCUGCACAAAGGUGAGGUGGUGGCACGUAAGACUGGUGCCGAAUGGGUGAAGUUGGGUUCCGGUGGCAGAAACGUCGUGUGGCGAGGUGGAUUUUGCGGCGCAGGCACACGGAGAUGCCCAGGCGGCAGUGGGAGUGGAGGCAGUUGUGCACGGGUAAAGUUGGGGUGGCUCGGGCCCACGCGAUGGCCCGCUUGGCAGCGUCGUGGUGGUGUCGCCAAUGGUGCACGUCAGCAGCAUCAUAUGGUGGUGGGAUUGGCGACGCCAGGGGUGGGGACGUUAAUAGGGGCAACGGAGCCGGUGGUGGCUGAAUGGCGUAGGAUGCCUACCUUGGUACGGCGGUUGCACCUUGUAUUGUGAGCGUGGUGCGGGACACCCGCAGCAUGCGGAGUUGUUGCCUGUAGCUGGGGUGCACGCGACGGAGCCUAGUGUUUGCCGAGAUGCCUACGGUGCUCCACAAACGGUCGACUGCAACGUGUGCAACUCUUUGUGUGAGGACGGCAUGCUGCAGCUUUGAUGGUGCUAUCUUCUAUGAAAAUCAUGUCCAUAAUGGAUGGACAGCAUUGGUAUUCAUGCGAUUGCGCUCUCCUUGGAGGCGCAUCUACGGAAGUUCCCCUUCAUCACAUCUUAUUGGCGGCAAUCAGCAACCACUCGCACGUCGGGUUCGCUUCUUGCACCAGUCCACGGCGGGUAGCCCCGCAUGGUGGGGGUUAGUCUAGUGCAAAACAGCAUUGACAGACAGCGCAAGCGGCAACGAUGGCAUCGCAACCACAUGGCUUGCAGCGGUCCGUGACGAUCAAUCCUGCAUGGUAGCGAUCGGCUUGGUGCUACACACCGUCGGGUGCCACUGCACAAGAGGUGACGAUAACGUGUCGACAUGUAUAUUCCUAUUGGUUAUAUUGGCUGAUUUGGAGUCUAUCUUCUUUUGAAUAUAAUCAGUUCUUUUGAAUAUAAUCAGCAGGUCUUCCUUCUAUCCUGUGCAUGAAAAAAAAGCUGAAAAAGCAGGUGAAGUUCAAGCUGGUUGAGGCAUAUGCCAUCGGAAAAAAAAUCAGUUCUCUUACGCGCUACUUUUUUUUAAAAAAAAAUCCCCUCCAUGCCUUCCUUUGAUCCCCUACAAGCCACUUCCGUUAUAUUGGUGUUGUGCAGUUAAAUGAUAAUAUACAGUGAGAUGUGCAGAAGAUUUUGCCCCAGAACGAUAUAAAGCAGGUUUUGGCUGUCUCCAUUUCAUUCCAUUACAGUGAGGUGCUUCAAUCCCAAUAAAUCAUGUAUUCUCGCCAAGCUACUGCUCAAAUCCAAGAUGUGGUGUUGGCUUUGGUGAAACUAGAAAACUAACCUAUCAUCCCACGAAUAGAUUAACCAUCCACGGCAAUCUUUUCUGCCAGCCUUGGAUUUGAUUUAUUCAUAACAGAACAUGACCCUGCCAGUUCCACCACGACAUGCUGAACCACUCAGCAAAAAUGCUUCACUAUAAUCGCACAAAUUGCAGAUAAUCCAGAAAAGCAUUCGGCUGAACAGUUCACAAAACCUUCCGAAUCCCUAAACAAGCCUGAAAAUAAUAAGCAACUGUGCUGAAUGCAAAGGAAAAACACAUCCAGCAUGGAACUAUAGAUAACAUGAAUUCAUAAGGAAUCAAAUUUCACAGCCAAUAGAAACGCAGUAUAUCAUUCACCCAUUGCAUUCAGAAUCAUAAUAAGUACUUCAAAGACACAAAAGAGGUAUACCACGUUCAAGACUUAGAUCAACACUACUGGAUAAUUGGAGCAAACUAUCAAACGCCUCAUUUCUUCUUGGCAGCAGCCUUGGUAACCUUGGCACCGGUGGGGUCCUUCUUCUCCACGCUCUUGAUGACACCAACAGCAACCGUCUGCCUCAUGUCACGAACAGCAAAGCGACCAAGAGGAGGGUACUCAGAGAAUGUCUCCACAACCAUGGGCUUGGUGGGAACCAUCUUCACCAUACCAGCAUCACCGUUCUUCAGGAACUUGGGCUCCUUCUCGAGCUCCUUGCCAGAUCGUCUGUCAAUCUUGGUAACAAGCUCGGCAAACUUGACAGCAAUGUGUGAGGUGUGGCAGUCCAGCACUGGGGCGUAGCCAUUGCCGAUCUGGCCAGGGUGGUUCAUGAUGAUGACCUGGGAGGUGAAGUUGGCAGCCUCCUUGGCAGGGUCAUCCUUGGAGUUGGAGGCCACGUACCCACGCUUGAGAUCCUUCACAGCAACGUUCUUCACGUUGAAGCCAACAUUGUCACCGGGAAGGGCCUCCUGGAGCGCCUCAUGGUGCAUCUCAACAGACUUCACCUCAGUGGUCAGGCCGCUGGGACCAAAGGUGACAAGCAUACCAGGCUUGAUGACACCAGUCUCUACACGACCAACAGGCACAGUUCCAAUACCACCAAUCUUGUACACAUCCUGAAGGGGGAGACGCAGGGGCUUGUCCGAAGGCCUCUUUGGCUCAUUGAUCAAGUCAAGAGCCUCAAGCAGUGUUGGGCCCUUGUACCAGUCCAGGUUGGUGGACCUCUCAAUCAUGUUGUCGCCCUCGAAACCAGAGAUGGGAACAAAGUGAAUCUUGUCAGGGUUGUAUCCAACCUUCUUGAGGUACGAAGAGACUUCCUUCACAAUCUCAUCAUAGCGGGCCUUCGAGUACUUGGGUGUGGUGGCAUCCAUCUGUACAAAACAAAGCAUUACAAUUAGCCAAAAAGAGAUGUGUCAAACAUCAACAGCAAUAGAUACAAAUGAAAGCAUGUAAACAAGAAGCUCCUAGCAUGUAUCUCACCCUCAUUCACCUUGUUUUACAAGUAAGCUACUCACACUGGAACAGGAAUAAAGCAGGCAAUAGUGUCGAAAAACAAAAAAUAAACUAUCAUCAUGCAAAACAGUGAGGCCAUACCUUG
Molecule: long non-coding RNA, 8691 nt
Filed under: Setaria viridis
Lineage: Eukaryota; Viridiplantae; Streptophyta; Magnoliopsida; Poales; Poaceae
Description: long non-coding RNA (SVIR_LNC011339)
Source: RNAcentral